Cyanistes caeruleus (blue tit) is the source of this 485-nucleotide long non-coding RNA. RefSeq lists it as uncharacterized. The record is from RefSeq and is a predicted model, not a curated record. Lineage: Eukaryota; Metazoa; Chordata; Aves; Passeriformes; Paridae.
CAGUCCUUUUCUACUUGAAAAACAGACUGAAAGGUUUUAUUGCAUUACAUGGAGAUCCCACAAACAAUUUUAAUGAAGCAAAAUAACUGAGCUACCAGAGAGCAAUGAGAAGCAAGUGUGGCAAGACAGAAGCUGAUGGUACUACUUCUACAAAUCUGAGGACUUCCACACAAUUUUCAGAAGGAGAUAUGUAUAUUCAACAAGGAAAACACCUUUAUUCUCCUUUCCUUUCUUCCCUGGAAAAGAGAGAAACAUUUGAAGAUGAAGAACAGCAGCACCAUCAUCAUCACCAACUGCUUUUGCAGCCCAGGACAACAGAACUCCACGCCGAGAAUCUGCUGCCCUGAACAUCAGGACCUUAUACCAGAGAGCUGCUGCUCAGAACUCAGGACUUUAUGCCAAAAGCUUUUAGCAAAGACUUUAAGUCUCUGUACUCUUUGCCUCUGAGACUGAUGCUUUUAUACAAUAAAUACCUUUCUAGCGAC